Molecule: long non-coding RNA, 494 nt
Filed under: Lepisosteus oculatus (spotted gar)
Lineage: Eukaryota; Metazoa; Chordata; Actinopteri; Semionotiformes; Lepisosteidae
Description: lncRNA (ENSLOCG00000022094.1)
Source: RNAcentral
AUGUCCUCUGUGAAAGAAGAGGCUUCAGAAUACUAUGAUGAUGCCAUCACUGCGCCCCAGAGUCCAGACACUGUGUUAGGUGUCCCCCACACUGGCCCUGGAUUGGACAAGGUCCUGCCCACACUGCCCACUGAUGAAGGAGCAGCUGCCCCCGAUGGGACUGACUAUGAUGAUGUUGGGGACGAGUCUCAGGGAGAGGAUGGGUGCUGUGAGACUAACAGGGCUGUCUGGGAGAAGCUCCUCCUCCAGGUCUAGACACAGAAGAGCUUCACCAAGUCACAGUCUUAAAGCAGCUCUGAGCACUGAGACUGUCUGAGACUGUCUGUGACCUGAGGCCACUUCACUCCACUCUUUCUAUAUACUGAUGAUGUCUGUAGCCUGGCUGCAUUUCACUGUCCUCAAUGACUUUGUCUACAGGAAGUGCAGUUUAGGUUUUAUAACACAGACUGAGCAGAUAUGGUAUCUUCAAGGUCUCUGUUUUCCUACAAUUUGAU